RNAcentral lists this ribosomal RNA (253 nucleotides) under uncultured bacterium. RNAcentral's name for it is "partial 16S ribosomal RNA". It matches the Rfam family "Bacterial small subunit ribosomal RNA", at positions 524 to 776 of the family's 1533-position model. The record is from RNAcentral.
GACAGAGGUCCCGAGCGUUAGGCGGAAUCACUGGGCUUAAAGCGUGUGUAGGCGGAUUGGUAAGUACCUUGUGAAAUCCCACGGCUUAACCGUGGAACUGCUUGGUAUACUGCUUAUCUUGGGCCACUUAGGGGCUACCGGAACAAACGGUGGAGCGGUGAAAUGCGUAGAUAUCGAGAGGAACACCUGCGGCGAAGGCGGGUUGCUGGGCUGAUACUGACGCUGAGGCGCGAAAGCCAGGGGAGCGAACGGG